Molecule: long non-coding RNA, 474 nt
Organism: Tribolium castaneum (red flour beetle)
Lineage: Eukaryota; Metazoa; Arthropoda; Insecta; Coleoptera; Tenebrionidae
Exons: 2
Source: RefSeq, a predicted model, not a curated record
CAGAAAUUCAUUCUGUGUUGUACAGGUAGUCUGUGUACGAAAUAAUGUGUUCAAAUUAUUUUGCUCAUUUUAAACCGUGUUCUCAUGGUGACGAGUGUUCUCAGUGUCCCGGUCCCUCAACUAGGACAACUGGCGUCAAUGACAUACAACAACCAUCUGGAUCCGAGGUUGAUGUGGAACUUAACAUCAUCACACCACCACUCCCUCAGCCUCCUGCAACGUUCGAUCCGAUGAGUAUUAUUACUCAAAAUGUCAUUGACGCACUGGCAGAGCCGUGGGUUGAAGAGAGGAGGCAGGGUGAAGAGAUGGAUGUUGAAAAUGACAUCAUUCAACCCUCUCAAUUGUCACCCAUUCUAGGGCAAAUAAAUAAUAGAGUUGAGAAUAGGGUGGAGGGUGGAGACGUUGAUGUCGAAAACGAAGACAAUGACGACGACGACAACAUCAUUCCACCCACUCCCCCUCACUCACGAUCAA